CCAGUGACUCCAGCACCCAAGGAAGGAGAAGAAUGUUUUCCCAGGAAGCUUCUGUGGAAAAGUCUGAGUUUGCCUAUGAAACAAGGAGCCGUGUAAUUCUUCCUGACAGCCACCUAUUUAAAAUGAAAGUCAAACACUCAGAAUUUUGUUUAAGAGUUGAGUCUUGGGGAGAAAAUGCAUUAAUUGCUAAACGUUGCUAAUUUCACUCUGAUGUGGUAACAAAAAGAAUGAAUCUCCAUACAUACACACAAGAGGACCAAUGAAACCAGCGUUGGGGCAAGGACGGCAGUCAGAAUGUCAGAGCCAGAGGUCCGUCUCAGAGCUUGUGUGGCGAAACCCCUCCCUUAUUUCACAGAUGAGGACACUGAGGUCCAGAGAGGUUAAGUGACUUGCUGAAGGUUGCCCCAGCCUAGGCGGCAGGUCCAAGGCUGACUGACGCCCGCAGGCUUGAAUGGCCUCCAUGCAGCAGCUGGUUGAUCCCGGGGAAACAGAAGCCACGCAUUCCUUCCGCAUAUCAGCACUCAGGCCAUCUGGGGUGCUGCCCGCCCUGCAGGGCUGCUGUGUUUCAAGUACUGCCUGCCGGGGGUCCUUGUGCCGGACAAGCGGCCUGCAGAGACCCUCCUCCGAGGCUGGAGAUCUGUGCCUCGGUAACCAGGACAGUGGGCACAGACCCACUGAGCCACCAUCUGCGACAGCUGAGCUGUGAGACACAGGUGCCAAGGGCCUUUGUCGGCGAGCAAGACUGCCGUCCGCGGGCCAGAGCCGGGGAGAGUGCCCGGCUGGGCAGGCAAGGCAGCUUGCGUGGGCUCUAGCCCUGGUCUAAGGUGCCUCUGCAGCCUCCUGGUGAAGAAAGGCUGCUUGGCCGGAAGCCGUGGGUGUGUGGGCCCCACUGUGAGUGGAUGGAGCAUUAUUUCUGAACUCAGACGGCUGUCGGUUCAAAUCCCUUCUUCGCGGGGCACACGCAGUGAGCUGUUUCAACCUCUCUCUGUUUCUGAUCCUGCCUCUGGCCAGUGUGAUUCACAGCAUUGAUCAGGCAGAGUUUGGGGGCCGAGUGAAUGCGUGCUACGUGCCAGCCCAGGUGCCACAAAGGCGGCCGAGGCUUAGACCAGCAAGCACAAAACAGGGGCCCGAGGGCCUUGCUCAGCCACAGACGUCUUUGCAGGCCUGCAUGUGCAACUCUACAAAUGUGAUUUGAAGGCACCCUGGCCAGGGCCUGAGCUCCCUGUAUGUCCUGAACCCACCGGCCCACGUGGGCUCACAGCCAGCCACUUCAUUCGUGUGACUGUCCUGACUUUCCAGCCCUGAAGGGAUCCUUUCUGUCUCACGCCAAAAGAUGCUUGUUCACCUCCUCUCCCGCUCCCACCAAAGCGCCAUGUCUUUUCCAUCCCAGCUCUGGUAACAUGGCCAGACCACGUCCAGUUUCCCACUCAACUGGGAGCACCUAGAGGGCAGGGGCCAUGUCGCAUCCCUACGUGAGCAGACGUGGGCUCCAGGAGAUGCAGUCAUGCAACAAACUGGGGUUGCAUCUAGGCUCCAGGGACAUAGCUGUGAAUAAUUUUGAGAAGGGCCAAACCUGGGCUUAUGCCAGUGGGAGAGCUGAACAACUGCAUAAAUCAGCAAGAUUUGUAAGAAGAAGGUAAAAAAAAAAAAAAAAAAAAAGGUAA
Long non-coding RNA from Leopardus geoffroyi (Geoffroy's cat), 1664 nucleotides. RefSeq lists it as uncharacterized. The transcript has 2 exons. The record is from RefSeq and is a predicted model, not a curated record. NCBI's taxonomy places the organism in Eukaryota, Metazoa, Chordata, Mammalia, Carnivora, Felidae.